GCCUGGCUGGUUCAUUCAGUUAGGGCAUGUGACUCUUGAUCUUGGGGUUGUGAGUUUGAACCCCACGUUGGGCA
Molecule: transfer RNA, 74 nt
Filed under: Canis lupus familiaris (dog)
Lineage: Eukaryota; Metazoa; Chordata; Mammalia; Carnivora; Canidae
Also listed under: 1 other name
Rfam family: tRNA
About the family: Transfer RNA (tRNA) molecules are approximately 80 nucleotides in length. Their secondary structure includes four short double-helical elements and three loops (D, anti-codon, and T loops). Further hydrogen bonds mediate the characteristic L-shaped molecular structure. tRNAs have two regions of fundamental functional importance: the anti-codon, which is responsible for specific mRNA codon recognition, and the 3' end, to which the tRNAs corresponding amino acid is attached (by aminoacyl-tRNA synthetases). tRNAs cope with the degeneracy of the genetic code in two manners: having more than one tRNA (with a specific anti-codon) for a particular amino acid; and 'wobble' base-pairing, i.e. permitting non-standard base-pairing at the 3rd anti-codon position.
Source: Rfam by way of RNAcentral